RNAcentral lists this long non-coding RNA (3994 nucleotides) under Sorghum bicolor (sorghum). RNAcentral's name for it is "long non-coding RNA (SBIC_LNC015391)". The record is from RNAcentral. Lineage: Eukaryota; Viridiplantae; Streptophyta; Magnoliopsida; Poales; Poaceae.
CACCCGAACUGUGACCAACAUCCCAUUGUUAUGGCCUGAAACUGACCAUCUCUAGUCUAGUUUCUGCAACCUCUUGUAGGUAAUCUUACGAGCAAGUCGAAACCAAUGAAAAAUCAUCAGUAAGUCAUUGGUUGAUUGAGAGAGAUGGAAAUUGUUGUGAAACUAACAUCUCGAGUGAUGGAGAUGGGACGCAGAAUCUUUUCUUUAUGGGUUAGGAGACAUCUGGAGUUAGAUCACAGCAUUGGGUUGAAGUCGAUCACUGCAAAAAAACUAGACUGCGGAUGGUGGCAUAUUGGACUGCAGUGGGUUGGCUAAAGACCACAGUAGGACAUGGGCGUCGCACCCAUAAGAAGUGGUGUCAUGCCACCGGACCUCACAAGCUCGUGUUCAUGGGAGCUGCAUUGCCUCUUGCAUCUAGUGCGCAAGCUUCAAAUUAACCAAGGACCUCAGCAUGGACGAAGCUAGCGGUGGGGCUAGGGGGCUCUAGCCCCCCUACCGCUGCUGAUUCAGUGGAGCUUCUAGUGUUUUUCUUCUAAUUUUAUAUACAAAUUUAUAAAGUAGGGUGGGCUGAGACCUUUAUUUUUAGAUAUAUUUUGUGAAUUAAUAUAUGACUACUUCAAGCUAAUAUAUUUUUUUCUAUUGUGAGAGUUUAUAGUAAAGUUAGGUCGAUGUAGCAAUUUUGUUCAGCCUCUCCUACAAUUUUUUCUGGCUUCGUCCCUGGACCUCAGUGACUUGAUUUUUGUCCUAGAUUGGUGAGAGGGAGGGAUCUGGUGGGUUUAGAUGGGUCAGCCUGAAAACUACUGCUUUGAGAUCUCAUGAUAAAUUUGAUCGCCAAAGCUUUUGUAAGGCCGUUGCAGUUUUUGAUUUUCUAUAACGAUUCAGGUAUGGCCAACUGUCUUCUCUAGAGGACAUGUUUACCUGCUAUUCUCAUGGUCAUGUUUCAUGCAGAUGCAGUUCCAAUCCAUGCAUGUCCUUUUUCCUUUUUUUAAUUUCAUGCAAAUAGGUUUUGGCUUUUGCAUUUAAUUACUGGCUGUAUUAUUUGCUACUCCCUCGAUUCCAAAUUAAAAGACAUUUUGAAUUGUUUAGUUAGACACUAGAGAUGUCGUAAAAGUAAUGUAUCUAGAGAAUACAAAAUAUCUUAUAAUUUGGAAUGGAGGGAUGAGUUAUUAAAAUUGAUAGCAGGUCAUUCUAACUGGGCAUCUAAUUAAGUUGCAAGAUGGUGUGGUUGAAAUCGAUGGUUGUGGUAGCUCCUGAUCACACGCCUGUUUUGAGAUCUGAAAUGAACUAGCGUACUUAACAGUAGUACUAGUCAUAUUUAACUCUCUCUCUCUCUCUCUCUCUCCGGCAACCAAGCGAGAGCAGCAGCGGUAGCCACGAGCGUCAGGUUCUCGAUGAUGUUUUCACUUGCAAUUGGAUCUGUUGCUUCAUGCAGGGCCGUGAGUGCUCUCUCUCGCUCUUUGUUUCAUUUUUUCUUCUAGGUGCUUUCUUAGGGCCCGUUCGUUUCUCACGGAAUGGAGACCUGGAAUGAUUUCAGCCAGAAACAUUAUGUAAAUUUAUACUAUUUUUGAUCGUCUGAAAUGAAUCCAUCGGGAACAAAGGCUAAACGAACGAGCCCUUAGUAAUCACUCUCAUGGUUAGCUGAUCUGAGAUCUGAGAGGUUAUAUUAUAUGAAUCCAUUUUAAUUAGUCCCUCUAUAACCUUUUUUCAUGUUUGCCUUCUGAAGAAUCAUCAUACGGAGUGAAGAAAGCUAGAUGCAUGCUACAUUAUUGCAUUGGGCAAAAUUAUGGGAAUAAAAAAAUAAUGAUGCUACAUUACCUGGCGAAUGCUUGGACAGAUGUGAGAUGUAUUGGCCAGUUAUGGAAAAAAAAUAAUGAUGCUGUUAUGAAGCACUAUAUACAUAACUUGUUCUCUUAUUAAGAACGACCAUUUCCAAUGACCCAUCAUGUCAUUCGAGGAAUACAGAUUUUUGUGCUUUGCAUGCUGGUGGCCACUAACCGAUUGAUCGAAGGUGCUUUUUGGUUCCACACUCUGUGGGAAUAGUAAUGCUAAUGUAAUAAGGUAGCGCUGCAAUCUGUUACUACAGUUUAAGGAAAAAAAACUGAAUUGAUUUGGUUGCCUCCUGUAAUGCUUGGAGCUGUUAGCUAGUCAAAACAUAGAGUCCAAUACAUAAGUAUCCCACAAUCACCAGCGAGGAUGCAGCAGAAGACACAUGCUGGAGUUUCUGAUGGCAGUGGUUGCAGUGUCGCUAGUUAAGACCGCUACAAUUCAGGCGCUCCUUAGAGAAGCUCAACGUACGUGGUCAGGAAGCCGUGCACCACCCCCAACAAGGAGGAAGGAUGGAGCAGAGACAUUGCUGGCGCAGACAGAGAAGUGGCACAUCAGUAUAGAUGCCAGAGAUGCGAGAGAAUCAUGAUGACUUGAGCUAGGGUUGUGGUCCAGCACACGUCAAGGGGCCGUGGCGUGUAGUCCAGCGGAGAGGAAGCGGCGAGGGAAUCAUGAUGAGUUGCAUGUAGGGAUGAAAACGGAUCGGAUACGGACGGAUAUCCCCGAUAUCAUAUUUGUUUUCAUAUUUCUGGUCGGAUUCGGAUUCGAAUACGGAUAAUGUCAACCAUGUCAGAUAAGAUACAAUUGGAUAUCAACAUCAUAAAUAUACAAUUUAAGUAUUCGGAUACGGAUAUGGUAUCGGAUAUUGAAUAUUCGGACUUAGAUACAGCAGAUCUAAACCCCUUGAAACGAAUUCGGUCUUGAAUACGGUCGGAAAAUAUCCGUACCGUUUUCAUCCCUGGUUGCAUGAGGUGCGGUCUAGGGCAGGGGAAGGGGAAUGGAUGAAGCUGGUUCGUGAGGAAAAUCCCAUAACUUGCCGUGGUUAUGUUUAUUAUGACCCAUCAUGACAUCAGCCAAAAUGUUAUGAAUGUGGCAGGCUGAAAUAGAGAUCAUUGCAGGUAAGCAAUGUGUCCAAGAGGUGAUAGAGUGCACUUAGGGGCACUAAUUAAGAUCAGGAGGCAUCAGGAACUAGAACCCCUAUGACUUGACCUGAAGUUGUAGGAUGAGUCAUACUGAAUGGAGCCGCGGAUGAGGACCCUGUCCUUGUCCAGAUACUGUUGCAGCCUUGCCAUUUGUUUAGAUCAUUUUAAUCCCCUCUAAAUAUAAAAUUUAUUGCCCUCUAAAAUUGUUUUGUACUAGCAACCUACCUAUAUAUUACUAGGAGGAUGCCAUGCCGACGGAGGCUACUGGCAAUGGAUUCGUGCACCCAACAAUCGAUCUUCUAUUAUUUAACUCCUCAGUAUGUGUAACAACAUUAAUGCAUCAUCUAUAGGUGAAUAUACAGUAAAUAUAAGUGAAGUAGUGCACCCGAACUGUGACCAACAUCCCAUUGUUAUGGCCUGAAACUGACCAUCUCUAGUCUAGUUUCUGCAACCUCUUGUAGGUAAUCUUACGAGCAAGUCGAAACCAAUGAAAAAUCAUCAGUAAGUCAUUGGUUGAUUGAGAGAGAUGGAAAUUGUUGUGAAACUAACAUCUCGAGUGAUGGAGAUGGGACGUAGAAUCUUUUCUUUAUGGGUUAGGAGACAUCUGGAGUUAGAUCACAGCAUUGGGUUGAAGUCGAUCACUGCAAAAAAACUAGACUGCGGAUGGUGGCAUAUUGGACUGCAGUGGGUUGGCUAAAGACCACAGUAGGACAUGGGCGUCGCACCCAUAAGAAGUGGUGUCAUGCCACCGGACCUCACAAGCUCGUGUUCAUGGGAGCUGCAUUGCCUCUUGCAUCUAGUGCGCAAGCUUCAAAUUAACCAAGGACCUCAGCAUGGACGAAGCUAGCGGUGGGGCUAGGGGGCUCUAGCCCCCCUACCGCUGCUGAUUCAGUGGAGCUUCUAGUGUUUUUCUUCUAAUUUUAGAUACAAAUUUAUAAAGUAGGGUGGGCUGAGACCUUUAUUUUUAGAUAUAUUUUGUGAAUUAAUAUAUGACUACUUCAAGCUAAUAUAUUUUUUUCUAUUGUGAG